Mytilus trossulus (common blue mussel) is the source of this 679-nucleotide long non-coding RNA. RefSeq lists it as uncharacterized. The transcript is spliced from 2 exons. The record is from RefSeq and is a predicted model, not a curated record. NCBI's taxonomy places the organism in Eukaryota, Metazoa, Mollusca, Bivalvia, Mytilida, Mytilidae.
UAUUAGCUUUUAUAUAUUUUAUCAAAUCAUAUUUAUGAUACAGUUUGAUUAUUUUGUCCAAAUAUUAUUUAAAGGUAUUUCAAAAUAUUAUUUACUUCAUUCUAGUAAUAAGUGUACAGGUAAAAACUGUUCACUACAUUGUAUAUUUUUACCAUUGAUAAAUAACUGACCGACAGGUGCAGUUGUGUCUCAGUUUUGUGAACAAGAAUAUUUGAAGAUUUAAGGUUGGUGUAUUUUGUAAAUAUUUAUAAUGAUUGUGAAUAUGACUGUUUGAUAUAAAAGAGUUUUAUAAAAUACAAAAAGAACAAAAAUAUGAUAUGUACAUGUAAAUAACAUUCUAUAUUUUUAUCUGAAGUUUUGCAAAUGCAAAUAUGAUUUUGAAAUUUUGUUUAAUCAUUUGAAUUUGAAAUAUAGUUUUAUUGAACUAAUUGAUAGGCAUUGUUGAGAAAUAUUUAUACUAUGAAAGAUGUGUUUUACAUUUUUAAUAUAAAAGGUUCUGAUAAAGUAAAUAUUGUUCACAGGUAGAUCAAUGUGAUUUUCAUACUAGAGGAUGAUAUUAUUGCAGUAAAAUUGUCUGCCAUUUCCUUAUUUAGGCGUUGCCAAUAAUUAAUGUUAUUUUCAAUAUAUGUAUAAUGUGAAUAGAAUAUAUGAAUCCAGUAUAAUAAAUUCAUGAACCUUA